UCUUUCCUUUAUUUUCAUUAAAGAAAGAAAAAAAGAAAGAAAGAAACGCGGAUGUAUUGGAAAUAUUCAGCAAUCAAACAGCGCUCAAUGUCACCAUCAAACAUCUACUUCUGCAUAUUCACGCCAUAAUCACCUUUUCCCACCGAAACGAAAACGUGCGGAGUCGGCCUUUUCUCGCCAAAGCCGAGGUAGCUGGCACGGUCACCGAGUUCAAGGACUGGCGUAACACUGGCGCGAGCAGCGCCUUCCUUUAAACUCUUCGUGCGACUAGCGAAGCGGCAGAUCUCGUGGCUCAAGUUAACCAAUAAGACAACGCCUGCACACGGCACUUAAGAGCCAGGCCGGUGAUUUGGCGCGCACUCGGUGCUUGCAGAAGCGGCGGAGACGCCGGGCCUGGCGGUCGCUACUAACCCUCUCUCCCCUUGUGUUACUAUGGUCUUGCGGAGGGAUAAAUUUGCCGCGCAACGGUUGCGUCAUGUGAUUUGGUCGUGGACCGGUUGGACGAUUCGACAAGACAAGCUGCUUCCUGUUCUUCGGCAGCUUACAUAUCGAUGUGUUCCAAAACUCUUGUCUUGUGAUGUUCGUCGACGAAACUUUGAGGGUAUAUUGUGCGGAGUUGAGAUGGCUGCCCAUGCGGUUCGCCGGUGCAAACCUUGAGAACGCACAGCAAGGCUUCUAAAUAAUUCUUCAGAUCUUCCUGCAGAAGAGCUGGUUAGGUGUCCCGCGCAUGGCUCAUCAUGGCAGGCUUGCAAAAUGUAUUGGCGCAGUGCCGACAGCACGACAAGGAGGUACGUAUUGGGACUGCUUCUGCAGUUUUUCCUGUAACGGACAUUGUUAUGCAAGUAGUACGAUGAUAAGCUGCGCACGAGCGUGUGGGGUAGAACACCUUCAACUCCUUGAAGGUGCUCGAUCAGCGGCAGCAGCUCAGGGUCAGCGUACUGGUGUUUAGUCAUUUUUAUGGCAUCUAUAACGUCGACACCGUUUUUAUGGUGUGUCUAACGCCGACAAUUGGCGAGUCAUGGUCAGGGUCAGAUGACCUUGUAGGGAGUGGUGCGCGUGACACAGUCAGCGUCACUGUGCUUCCAGAUCGGUAGACAACUGUAAUGUUGUACUCUUGUAAGCGCAGGCUCCAACGGGCUAGUCUGCCUGAAGGAUCCUUGAGGUUGGCAAGCCAGCACAGCGCAUGGUGGUCACUGACUGCCUUAAAGGGUCUACAGUACAAGUACGGUCGGAAUUUACUAAUGGCAACCGCUAAGCUUUUUUUUUUCGGUGGUUGAGUAGUUUUUCUUGGCCUUGGUGAGACUGCGGCUUGCAUAAGCAAUAGUGCAUUCCGUACCAGCUUGGCACUGCACAAGAACUGUGCAGAGACCCGCAUUGCUGGCGUCAGUAUGAAUUUCAGUGUCAGCGUCUACGUCGAAAUAAGCAAGUAUUGGGGCCUCUUGCAAACGGUUGCGCAAUUCAUUUAAUGACUGCUGCUGCUCGUCCGCCCAAAUGAAAGGCACAUUGUCGCGUGUAAGCCGUGUCAGAGGCUCAGCAAUUCUCGAGAAUCCCUCGACGAAGCACCUAUAAUAUGCGCACAAACCAAGAAAGCGUUGGAUAGCCUUCUUGUCUGUGGGUGGCGAAAACUCGGCGACGGCAGCUAGCCUGUCGGGGUCUGGUCGGACGCCUUGAGGACCAACGACAUGGCCAAGAAAUUUGAGCUCUUGGAACCCAAAGUAGCAUUUUCCAGGCUUGAUGGUGAGGCCGGUAGUACGGAUCGCAGUGAGGACACUCAAGUCAGGCGAGAUGUUUGUCAAACAUGCUCGAGAACACGACGUCGUCCAAGUAUACGAGGCUAGUUUGCCACUUGAGUUCAGCAAGCACGGUAUCCAUCAUCGGCUGAAAGGUGGCAGGUGCGGAACAGAGACCGAAGGGGAGAGCUUUGAACUCGUAAAGCCCGUCAGGUGUCACAAACGCUGUUUUUCACGAUCCUGUUCAUCAACUUCAAUUUGCCAAUAUUCGGAUUUAAGAUCAACGAAGAAAAAAACUUGGCAUGUUGUAGAUGAUCCAAUGCGUCGUCGAUGCGUGGCAAUGGAUAAACAUCGCGCUUGGUGACAUGGUUCAACUUUCUGUAAUCUACACAGAAGCGUAGUGUGUUGUCUUUCUUUCUGACUAACAGUACAGGGGAAGCCCAUGGACUUGUAGAUGGCUGGAUCACGUCGUCUUGGAGCAUCUCUUUCACCUGAUGCCUGGUCGCUUCUCUUUCCACUGGAGACACUCUGUAAGGAUGCUGACGAACAGGAUGUGCAGAAUCGUCUGUAAUAAUGCGGCGCUUUGUGAUGGACAUGCGCCGCACUUUGGAUGACGUUGAAAAACAGUCCGCAAAUUCGUUCACGAGACUCAACAGAUGGCCUUUCUGACGGUCUGGCAGAGCUGCGUUAACGUGAAUCUGUUCUUUUAGGCAAAGUUUAAAGUGUGUGGGUUAAUUGCGGCCUUUGCACUAAAUUCUUCCGGUGCACCUAAGUACCGUAAGUGUGUUUCACGAAUGUAUAAUUUAGCCUGCUCUCCUGAGAGAACUAUAACAGCCAUACAAGUUAAAUUUGUUGAAAAUGGGGAGACUAAUAGCGGCUCAUAUCCAUGCUAACUGAAAUGUUUGUGAGUGAAGCAUUUUGCUAAAAAAGGAAGAAAGCGCUCGAAUGCACUGUUUACAGGCAAUGUUUGAAAGUGAAGUCGUAGGCGGCCAAUAUUUUAUGGUGUGUGGCUUAAUUACUGGCAACUGAAAUCUUACAUGCAACUACUCAAAAGAAACAGCUUCACUGAAAAUUGGGCCCUGAUUGUGCCAGGUUGCAUAAGCCAGCUGUCUGUCAAUUGGAAGUUGAGUGAAUCAAGUACAAACGUCUUCAAAAUAAAUAACUAGCAGAAGCCUGGAAGGAUUAGAAGGAUGUUCCAGUUUGUAACUGUGCAUUAAAAUGAUACUAGACAAGUUAGAAUGACAUUUAUAGAACACAAAUAUGAAAAGUAGGGAGAGUGUGAAAUUGCCAAACUUUAGCUAGAAAUGCAUUCACAUCUAGAGGAAUGGCUAAAGUAGCAGGCUUGUGAAGUAUGCGUUGCCAUGUUCCUAAUAACUUUGUCAUCCAUAUGUUGUCUCUGUCUACUACGGUAAUGCUGGUUGUGGAAUUCUAGAAACAUGCACAGGUGUUCCGCUCUCCGGGUUUCAUGCAGCGCCAAGCCUUUUAUUAUCACCCAAAGUCCAGACACCCUCUCUUAAGACCGCCACGCCGAACUUCCUCCCGUAUCAACCACAGCAACGCCAUAGCAUGACUUAACAGCCGUACUUCAUCAAUGCUAACCUCAUUCUUUCCUCAAGCAAUAACCCACUGAAACAGUCUACCCGAUCGAUACCAUAGCCUCAUGCACUGACAGCGAACUAUUCCGGAAAAAAUUAAUCAGCCAUAUUCCAUUGUACAUGCAUAGCUAAUGUGUUUCAUGCUCUUGCUGUAUGGAAAUCUACUGCUGUAUUUUUAGGCUGUUGUAUCUCUGCACUUUUGUGCUGUAUUUUUUUAGCUAUUUCUAUUUUUGUAUCUGCUGUUACACUUGUACCUCUGUACUUCACUGUACUGAUACUGUACCUCUGUAGCCGUGUCAUAUGUUCCUCUAUGCCUCCCCCCCCCUCUUAUGUAAUGCUCUCGGGCCUUUAAGGUGGAAAUAAAUUAAGUGAAAUGACCCCCCCCCCCCACAAAUGAAAUUACCAAGCACCAGCACUGUGAAAUAGUGUUUGAUUAGUGCAUCAAGGUGCCAACUACACAUUAUUGUAGGAGAAUCAGUUUACAUUCUAGUGGUGCUGGCGGGCUAUGUUUUGUUCUUGUUCACCCUCUCAUGAUGACAAAUCAGAUAGUGGCCUGACGAAAAUGGCUGUGAAUGUUGUGUAUAAAGUUUAUUCCCCUUCUUUCUUUCGGAUGUGAACGCUGACAUGACCAGCUAGACCAUUGUGUACUCUGUUCACAUCACCACCUUUGCUGUAUAUAAAAUAAAUCUCACUUAGUGCACAGGAUGCUGCUCAAUGAAGGUGGCACUAGCAAUUAGAUUUUGGUCGUUCUCAUGUCUCAUCAUGUAAACUUGAAGAUAUUUUUGUAUUUUAUAAAGGUUCAAGGACAUAACUGUUAAUUACAAGUUCCCACAACACUUGCUCAUUUAUCUUUUUUUUUUCAAUGUGUAUGUAUGCUUCACAUUUAAAAUAAAUGUUUGUUGGAAACCAG
This is a non-coding RNA of Dermacentor albipictus, 4235 nucleotides long. Lineage: Eukaryota; Metazoa; Arthropoda; Arachnida; Ixodida; Ixodidae. The record is from RefSeq and is a predicted model, not a curated record.